GAUGAACGCUGGCGGCGUGCCUAAUACAUGCAAGUCGAGCGAACGGACGAGAAGCUUGCUUCUCUGAUGUUAGCGGCGGACGGGUGAGUAACACGUGGAUAACCUACCUAUAAGACUGGGAUAACUUCGGGAAACCGGAGCUAAUACCGGAUGAUAUUUUGAACCGCAUGGUUCAAAAGUGAAAGACGGUCUUGCUGUCACUUAUAGAUGGAUCCGCGCUGCAUUAGCUAGUUGGUAAGGUAACGGCUUACCAAGGCAACGAUGCAUAGCCGACCUGAGAGGGUGAUCGGCCACACUGGAACUGAGACACGGUCCAGACUCCUACGGGAGGCAGCAGUAGGGAAUCUUCCGCCAUGGGCGAAAGCCUGACGGAGCAACGCCGCGUGAGUGAUGAAGGUCUUCGGAUCGUAAGACUCUGUUAUUAGGGAAGAACAUAUGUGUAAGUACAUGCGCACAUCUUGACGGUACCUAAUCAGAAAGCCACGGCUAACUACGCG
This 497-nucleotide ribosomal RNA is filed under the name uncultured bacterium. Its description in RNAcentral is "partial 16S ribosomal RNA". It matches the Rfam family "Bacterial small subunit ribosomal RNA", at positions 28 to 507 of the family's 1533-position model. The record is from RNAcentral.